This 203-nucleotide unclassified non-coding RNA is filed under the name uncultured fungus. RNAcentral's name for it is "sequence contains ITS1". The record is from RNAcentral. Lineage: Eukaryota; Fungi.
GUACAUUAGUGCUUGCGCACGACAAUAUAUUUCAUUACAUUCGAGUGUGUGUAAAUUCCUCUGCCGGCCAAAGCUAGCAAGAGGCCAAAGGUGCACAGGGUAUUGGAUGAAAGUCACCAACGUGCACUUGCCAGGAUCUGGCCAGCACUGAAGGCAACGAUUCGUAAUCACUAAUGAUCCUUCCGCAGGUUCACCUACGGAAA